UCAAGAGUCUCCUCCUUUCUUUAUCUUUGCCAAGACUUAUCUUUCAUCUUUUUGAUAAAAACCAUUCUAACAGGUGUGAAGUGAUACCUCAUUAUGGUUUUAAUUUGAUAAUCAGCUUUUAUGUACAGUUUAUGUGUUAUAAUUAUAUCACCCAAUUUUUCUUAAUGGGACAGCGAUCUAGGGCAGCCCUGCAGAGGUACCUGUUCUACUGUAAUCGCUAUAUGAACCACAUGCAGAGCCUGCGCUUUGAGCACAAACUAUAUGCUCAGGUGAAACAGAAAAUGGAGGAGAUGCAGCAGCACAACAUGUCCUGGAUUGAGGUGCAGUUCCUGAAGAAAGCAGUUGAUGUCCUCUGCCAGUGUCGUGCCACACUCAUGUACACUUAUGUCUUCGCUUUCUACCUCAAAAAGAAUAACCAGUCCAUUAUCUUUGAGAAUAACCAAGCAGAUCUAGAGAAUGCCACAGAGGUGCUCUCGGGCUACCUUGAACGAGAUAUUUCCCAAGAUUCUCUGCAGGAUAUAAAGCAGAAAGUACAAGACAAGUACAGAUACUGUGAGAGUCGACGAAGGGUUUUGUUACAGCAUGUGCAUGAAGGCUAUGAAAAAGAUCUGUGGGAGUACAUUGAGGACU
Molecule: small RNA, 630 nt
Filed under: Pan troglodytes (chimpanzee)
Lineage: Eukaryota; Metazoa; Chordata; Mammalia; Primates; Hominidae
Description: retained intron
Source: RNAcentral